AGGCGUGAGCCACCGCACCCGGCCCUUCCUUCCCAAUUCUUUUGUCUCCACGGCCUCUUUGACACCUCCUACUUCUCCAAGCUCCCUGGCCUAGACUAAUCUGGCACUUUUCCUUCCCAUGUGUCUCUCUAAAGCUCAUUCCUCAGACUUUUGCAUUCUCAGAGCCGUGACAGCUUCAUCCCCAUCUAAGUCCCAGCUGUGUUUCCUGUCCCCCAUGCGGACUCUGGCCUGUCCCCUCCAGCCCUGGCACCUACCUUUGUGUGACUGAGAGGGACCACUAUCUUUCUGCUCGAUUUCUCUGACUAUCUGAGGGUGUCUCAUCAGAGACUCAGGUCUUUGGCUUAACUGCAGGUGCCCCUGGGAGUGGCCCCAUAGGACACUGUUGUCAGUGCUGGUAUCUUUUUGGGUAAAAUGUGGUGUCUAAGUUUCAGUGUGAGCUCAUAUCCAGCUGUCAGACAAUGAGGAAUGAGUGUUUGGCGGAUGCGUAGCAAGUGCAGAUUGUCUAGGGCAGGAGUGGGUAAACCUUUUCUGUAAAAGACCCCAGAGUAAAGAGGCUGUCGGUAGUAAAAACCUAUCUAGAAUAGUCUCUGCGGGCCCAUAAGGUCUCUGUUGCAACUGUGCAGUUCUGCUGGGGUGGCAGAAGAGCAGCCCCAGCAGUGGCAUGAGUGAUCUGUGCCCCCAAGUUCACAUGUUGAAUUCCGAGCCUCAGAAUGUGACCACGUGUGGAGACAGGGCCAUUAAGGAGGUUAUUAGGCUAAAAUGAGGUCACUAGAGUGGGCCUUGAUCCAAUGUGACUGGUUGACUGGUGUCCUCAUAAGAACAGGAGCUGAAGACACUGACACACACAGAGGGAAGACCACGUGAAGACAGGAAGAUGGCCAUCUCCAAGCCAAGGAGAGAGGCCUCAGAAGGAACCAACCCUGGCAACAGCUCCAUCUAGGACGUGCAGACUCCAGAACUAUGAGACAGUUCCCAGUAACUUCUUCCUGGUGGAUCAGAAUUAAUCCUGAAAAGACUGUUGCCUUUGUUACCUCCUAAACCUUCUGGGGAUGAAAGUGUGAUCAAGGUGAGUCGAGAGGCUUUGAAAUGCUCUGUUUCUAAGACAGUGUGUUUGAAUCAGUGCUAAUGUGUCUUGAUUCUCUGCUGGGUUUGUGAUCUGUAUCAGGAAAGCAUCAUUCUGUUUUGACGCCUCAAAAUAGGAGGAAGAGAAUGGCAUCUGGGGUCCCAGGACAGACAUUUUCUGUUAUCUGAAACCUGGUACGUGGAACCAUUUAGCACUGCUCUGGUCCUGAAAGGCAAGUGGCAGAGAAGCAAGAAUGAGGGUAGUCCUACCAAUUCACAGGGGGAAGAAAAUCCGGCUCAGAGAGAGAGACAGCCAGUCCCCAGCAAGUCAGAGAAACAACACAAUCUCAUCUGCUGUGAUGCUCCACGGUCACCAACACCCCUAGAGUCCCUGUUGGACCUACAUGAGUCUUGCUUGCAGGAGGAAGUCCAGACUCCACCGCCAGCUCCUACUAUCUCAUCAACAGGCAUCUCUACCCCGUUUCCUGAUCCUCCAUUUUAGGCAGAAAGGGGCGCUUACUCUUUCCUGUUCACCUCCUGUUUCUGGACCUUCACAUGUACUGUCCUCUGUCCCGGCGCCUUUCCUUUUCCUCUCAUCUUUCUAGGUCAUGGCGGUCUUGGAGGCCCAGCAGGAUCCCUUACCAAACUUUUAAACAAACCACAGUGAGGUUUGUUCCUCAGCAAGGCCCUUUCUAACCACUCAGGUCUCUCCUUCCUCUGACCUGGAAGCUCCUGUUGCCUGGACUCUUCGUUGGCACACAUUGUCUUAUUAUAUCUAAUACUGAUACUUGGCAUUUCAUAAAUUGCUUUGUCUCCACCAGGAGAUCACAAGGGCAGGAGUUGUCUUAGGAAUCUUUGUGUGCCUGUAACAUUUAGCAUGGUGCUAGAACGUGGAGAUUGCUCAGUGCAUCAUGUGGGCAGUCAGGAAGGAAGAAGGAAGGAGGGAAGGAGAGAAGGAGAGAAGAGAGAAGGAGGGAAAGACAGAAGGAGGGAAGGAGGGAAAGGAAGGUGAGAAGAAAGGAAGGGAAGAAGGAGGGAAGGAGGGAAGGAGAGGAGGAGGGAAGGAGAGAAGGGAAGGAGGGAAGAAGAGGAGGAGGGAAGGAAGAAAGAAGAAGAGAGAAGGAAGGAGGGAAGGAAGAAAAAGGGGAGGAAGAACAGAAGGUGGGAAGGAAGGAGAGAAGAAACGCGGCUCAAUGCCAAAACCUUUCAUGCUUUUGGGACAGAGAAAAGUGCAGUCUCUAGGAAGGGAAGUGAGUGGGGAAUUGGGGUUGGGUGACCUCCUGGGUGGGCAGCCAGGAGGGAAGUUAGCGCUGGGUGACAUGGAACCUGGGAAGGACUAGUUCCACUCUGGCAGCCAUGUCAUCCGAGUAUGUGUGUGGAGGUGAUGAGGGGAGUGCAGGAGACGGGGGCCACACUUCCCCAGUCAUGCCUCUAUUGUAUUUCUACCAGUGGUGGUGAGUAAAGCUGGGCUGGGGGAGGUGAGUGUUGAUGUCUUUGGUGACAGGAGAUAAAUGAAUUCAUCCUAAACAGUGGCUCCUUUUCCAGUACUACAGCAGCUCAACUCUUGACUUUGCUGCCUUGGGGUUUUAAUUAAAUGUCAAAUAUAAUUUAGGGCUGGAGUGUUGAUGUGUGUGUGAACAUGAAGUCCAACGUCUCAUCUUUAUGGGUCUCUCUGGUACUUGCCUAAUUUGGGGGGUUAAUUGGUCACUCUUUAUUUGAGUGCCCCAUGAGAAAACACUUGAUUUCCCCUCUCCCCUCAUCCUUGGUUUUGAAAUAAUAGUUGGAUGAGAAGAAAAAAAAAAAAAAAAA
RNAcentral lists this long non-coding RNA (2871 nucleotides) under Macaca mulatta (Rhesus monkey). RNAcentral describes it as "lncRNA (ENSMMUG00000064162.1)". The record is from RNAcentral. Lineage: Eukaryota; Metazoa; Chordata; Mammalia; Primates; Cercopithecidae.